RNAcentral lists this ribosomal RNA (496 nucleotides) under uncultured bacterium. RNAcentral's name for it is "partial 16S ribosomal RNA". It matches the Rfam family "Bacterial small subunit ribosomal RNA", at positions 28 to 507 of the family's 1533-position model. The record is from RNAcentral.
GACGAACGCUGGCGGCGUGCCUAAUACAUGCAAGUUGAGCGCUGAAGGUUGGUACUUGUACCAACUGGAUGAGCAGCGAACGGGUGAGUAACGCGUGGGAAUCUGCCUUUGAGCGGGGGACAACAUUUGGAAACGAAUGCUAAUACCGCAUAAAAACUUUAAACACAAGUUUUAAGUUUGAAAGAUGCAAUUGCAUCACUCAAAGAUGAUCCCGCGUUGUAUUAGCUAGUUGGUGAGGUAAAGGCUCACCAAGGCGAUGAUACAUAGCCGACCUGAGAGGGUGAUCGGCCACAUUGGGACUGAGACACGGCCCAAACUCCUACGGGAGGCAGCAGUAGGGAAGCUUCGGCAAUGGACGAAAGUCUGACCGAGCAACGCCGCGUGAGUGAAGAAGGUUUUCGGAUCGUAAGACUCGGUUGGUAGAGAAGAACGUUGGUGAGAGUGGAAAGCUCAUCAAGUGACGGUAACUACCCAGAAAGGGACGGCUAACUACGUG